GAUGAACGCUGGCGGCGUGCCUAAUACAUGCAAGUCGAGCGAACGGACGAGAAGCUUGCUUCUCUGAUGUUAGCGGCGGACGGGUGAGUAACACGUGGAUAACCUACCUAUAAGACUGGGAUAACUUCGGGAAACCGGAGCUAAUACCGGAUAAUAUUUUGAACCGCAUGGUUCAAAAGUGAAAGACGGUCUUGCUGUCACUUAUAGAUGGAUCCGCGCUGCAUUAGCUAGUUGGUAAGGUAACGGCUUACCAAGGCAACGAUGCAUAGCAGACCUGAGAGGGUGAUCGGCCACACUGGAACUGAGACACGGUCCAGACUCCUACGGGAGGCAGCAGUAGGGAAUCUUCCGCAAUGGGCGAAAGCCUGACGGAACAACGCCGCGUGAGUGAUGAAGGUCUUCGGAUCGUAAAACUCUGUUAUUAGGGAAGAACAUAUGUGUAAGUAACUGUGCACAUCUUGACGGUACCUAAUCAGAAAGCCACGGCUAACUACGUG
RNAcentral lists this ribosomal RNA (497 nucleotides) under uncultured bacterium. RNAcentral describes it as "partial 16S ribosomal RNA". It matches the Rfam family "Bacterial small subunit ribosomal RNA", at positions 28 to 507 of the family's 1533-position model. The record is from RNAcentral.